Molecule: ribosomal RNA, 374 nt
Filed under: uncultured organism
Description: partial 16S ribosomal RNA
Rfam family: Bacterial small subunit ribosomal RNA
Source: RNAcentral
GUAGGUGGCAAGCGUUGUCCGGAAUUAUUGGGCGUAAAGCGCGCGCAGGCGGUUUUUUAAGUCUGAUGUGAAAGCCCACGGCUCAACCGUGGAGGGUCAUUGGAAACUGGAGAACUUGAGUACAGAAGAGGAAAGCGGAAUUCCACGUGUAGCGGUGAAAUGCGUAGAGAUGUGGAGGAACACCAGUGGCGAAGGCGGCUUUCUGGUCUGUAACUGACGCUGAGGCGCGAAAGCGUGGGGAGCAAACGGGGGAUUAGAUACCCUGGUAGUCCACGCCGUAAACGAUGAGUGCUAAGUGUUAGGGGGUUUCCCGCCCCUUAGUGCUGCAGCUAACGCAUUAAGCACUCCGCCUGGGGAGUACGGCCGCAAGGCUG